CCUACGGGUGGCAGCAGUGAGGAAUAGUGGGCAAUGGACGAGAGUCUGAACCAGCCAAGUAGCGUGAAGGAUGACGGCCCUAGGGGUUGUAAACUUCUUGUAUAAAGGAAUAAAACGAGGCACGUGUGCCUUUUUGCAUGUACAUUAUGAAUAAGGAUAGGCUAACUCCGUGCCAGCAGCCGCGGUAAUACGGAGGAUUCGAGCGUUAUCCGGAUUUAUUGGGUUUACAGGGAGCGUAGAUGGGUUGUUAAGUCCGUUGUGAAAGUUUGCGGCUCAACCGUAAAAUUGCCUUUGAUACUGGCAGUCUUGCGUACAGUUGAGGUAGGCUGACUUCGUGGUGUAGCGG
This 346-nucleotide ribosomal RNA is filed under the name uncultured bacterium. RNAcentral's name for it is "partial 16S ribosomal RNA". It matches the Rfam family "Bacterial small subunit ribosomal RNA", at positions 338 to 681 of the family's 1533-position model. The record is from RNAcentral.